Molecule: ribosomal RNA, 425 nt
Filed under: uncultured bacterium
Lineage: Bacteria
Description: partial 16S ribosomal RNA
Rfam family: Bacterial small subunit ribosomal RNA
Source: RNAcentral
GUGGGGAAUCUUGCGCAAUGGGCGAAAGCCUGACGCAGCCAUGCCGCGUGAAUGAUGAAGGUCUUAGGAUUGUAAAAUUCUUUCACCGGGGACGAUAAUGACGGUACCCGGAGAAGAAGCCCCGGCUAACUUCGUGCCAGCAGCCGCGGUAAUACGAAGGGGGCUAGCGUUGCUCGGAAUUACUGGGCGUAAAGGGCGCGUAGGCGGACAGUUUAGUCAGAGGUGAAAGCCCAGGGCUCAACCUUGGAAUUGCCUUUGAUACUGGCUGUCUUGGGGACGGGAGAGGUGAGUGGAACUCCGAGUGUAGAGGUGAAAGUCGUAGAUAUUCGGAAGAACACCAGUGGCGAAGGCGACUCACUGGCCCGUUACUGACGCUGAGGCGCGAAGGCGUGGGGAGCAAACAGGAUUAGAAACCCCUGUAGUCC